RNAcentral lists this ribosomal RNA (876 nucleotides) under Lapillicoccus sp. RNAcentral's name for it is "bacterial SSU rRNA". It matches the Rfam family "Bacterial small subunit ribosomal RNA", at positions 52 to 935 of the family's 1533-position model. The record is from RNAcentral. Lineage: Bacteria; Bacillati; Actinomycetota; Actinomycetes; Micrococcales; Intrasporangiaceae.
UACCAUGCAGUCGAACGGUGACCUGGGGAGCUUGCUCCCUGGUGAUCAGUGGCGAACGGGUGAGUAACACGUGAGUAACCUGCCCCAGACUCUGGGAUAACUUCGGGAAACCGGAGCUAAUACCGGAUAUGACACGGAGAUGCAUGUCUACCGUGUGGAAAGUUUUUCGGUCUGGGAUGGGCUCGCGGCCUAUCAGCUUGUUGGUGAGGUAACGGCUCACCAAGGCGACGACGGGUAGCCGGCCUGAGAGGGCGACCGGCCACACUGGGACUGAGACACGGCCCAGACUCCUACGGGAGGCAGCAGUGGGGAAUAUUGCACAAUGGGCGAAAGCCUGAUGCAGCGACGCCGCGUGAGGGAUGACGGCCUUUGGGUUGUAAACCUCUUUCAGCAGGGAAGAAGCGCAAGUGACGGUACCUGCAGAAGAAGCACCGGCUAACUACGUGCCAGCAGCCGCGGUAAUACGUAGGGUGCGAGCGUUGUCCGGAAUUAUUGGGCGUAAAGAGCUUGUAGGCGGUCUGUCGCGUCUGCUGUGAAAAUCCGGGGCUCAACCCCGGACUUGCAGUGGGUACGGGCAGACUAGAGUGUGGUAGGGGAGACUGGAAUUCCUGGUGUAGCGGUGAAAUGCGCAGAUAUCAGGAGGAACACCGAUGGCGAAGGCAGGUCUCUGGGCCAUAACUGACGCUGAGAAGCGAAAGCAUGGGGAGCGAACAGGAUUAGAUACCCUGGUAGUCCAUGCCGUAAACGUUGGGAACUAGGUGUGGGUCUCAUUCCACGAGAUCCGUGCCGCAGCUAACGCAUUAAGUUCCCCGCCUGGGGAGUACGGCCGCAAGGCUAAAACUCAAAGGAAUUGACGGGGGCCCGCACAAGCGGCGG